This is a long non-coding RNA of Oreochromis niloticus (Nile tilapia), 3540 nucleotides long. RefSeq lists it as uncharacterized. The record is from RefSeq and is a predicted model, not a curated record. The transcript is spliced from 3 exons. Lineage: Eukaryota; Metazoa; Chordata; Actinopteri; Cichliformes; Cichlidae.
UAUAGAUCAAGGACCAUGCCAAAAGAGCUUGUUGAUGAAAGUUUGAGAGUUUAAUUGGGAUUUUCUGAAUAUUGUAGUUGCAGAGAAGAAUAAAGUCCAAGCCACCCAAAUGUGAAAAGAUAUGAUGAGAGAUGAAGUUCCAGAUGGAGUUAGGGUUUUUGAGAUGUUUUUUAAUCCAAUUCAUUUUGAAAGUAUAAUUCAGGGAGCUGAAAUCUACAAAAUUUAAGCCACCAUUGUUAUAAUUGUUCAUAACUAUGGAUUUGCGAAUGUAGUGAAUUUUGUUUUUCCACAGAAAAUUAAAUAACAAUUUAUCAACAGAUUUGCAUGUAGAGUUAUCGACAUGUAAAGAUUGAGCAGCAUAGGUCAGGUGAGACAAACCCUCAGCCUUGGUGAGCAGCAUUCUACCCUUUAGGGACAAAUCCUAAUUUGCAACCAAUUGUUGAGGACAUUUGAGUUUUAUUGAUGAUAAGGUUAAAGUUUAGAGCGUUCCUAGAAUUCUUAUCUUUGGUAAUAAGGAUUCCCAAAUAUGUUACACAACUUUUCACUGGGAUCCCGGAAACACAGGACACAGUACACUUGUUCACUUGUAGCAGUUCACACUUACUGAGGUUAAGGGAGAGGCCAGAUGCUCUGGAGAAAGUACCACAAGGAAGUUUAAAUAGAACUAUUACCAUUAGUAUAAAGGGUCUUGACACAAUUACUAAAAAAGGUACCAGUGAUAAAAUAAACUUGUGUUCUACAGAGUCAAAUGCUUUGUAGAAGUCCAAAAAAGCAUGAUGCUUUCAUCUUUAACAAGCUCAGAGUAGUCUAAGAUAUCUAAGAUCAGUCUUAUAUUAUUAGAGAUAUGUCGAUUUGGCAUAAACCCUGACUACCACUCAUCAAUAAGAGGGUCUAGUACUAAUUUCAGUCUUUUGGCUAGUAAGAGUGCUAAGAUUUUAUAAUCAUUAUUUAAUAGAGAUAUUGGUCGCCAGUUGUCCAGUAAGAGUGGGUCUUUCCUGGGUUUAGGGAUGAGCGUAAUCAAACUUUGGCAUAAUAUCGGGGGGAGUGAGCCUUUAUUUAUACUUUUCAUGUAAACUUUUAGGAAGGGGGUCAAGAUAUCGGAAUUUUUUUUUUUUUUUUAUAAAAUUCUGUCGUUAAACCAUCAGGACCUGGGGAUUUAUUCGAUUUAGCUGACUUACUGCAUCUGAAACUUCUUUUAAAGAGACUGGUCUGUCACAGAAAUCACUGUCCUCUUUGGACAGCUGGUUCACAUUAGGGAUGGAGUCAAAGAACUGAGAAACCGACUUCUGACAAAAUUUGGAAGUGUAGAGAUUACUGUAAAACUUUGCGCAGAAGUUGGCGUAGAAUUUUCUUUGGCUCAUCAGUGAUUGUGUCACGGUCCUGGGUCGGUGACCCAGUGCUUUGAGUUUCUUGUGUCUCAGGGUUUUCGUAUUAUGAUCUUAGUUCUCUUUGUUGCCCCAGUGUCUUAGUUUGGGUUUCUUGUAUUCUGUUUAGUUUUCUGAGUAUUUAGUAGCUGCCCUCUGUCUCCUUUUUGUCGGUCUCUGUGUUUCUUAGUUGCUCUGUUUCCCCGGUCAAGUCCAUGUCCGUGUUACAUUUCCUGUUUUACUUUGAAGGUCUGUGUCCUACGUGAAUGUAUUGAGUUUCGCUUCCCUUGGGUCUCGUUAUGUCUGAUUUCUCCCAGCUGUGCUCCCCUUCUGUGUCUCAUUCCCCUCGUUAUUUCCCAGUGUAUUUAAGCCCUGUGUUUCUCUGUGUCAGUGUUGUGAUCUCCCUCAUGCUGUGUGGUUCUUCCCGGUUUAGGUUUUGUAGAGUUUUCUGUUCAGCAAUAAAAGCUGCCGUUUUGAGUUCAGUCCUGUUUCUAGUGAGUUUGCGUUUGGGUCCAAUUCCUGCCUGCACACAGCCGGAUCAUGACCGAUUGAGCCAUCAAUUUUUAAAUACUGAAUUGAAUUGUUUCAUGACUUCUGCCUUUCUAACCUAAAAAAGUAAGCAGAACUUUGCUCGCCUUCUUCAAGCCAUCGCCUGUGCGACCUGACAAAGGCUCCCUCAGCUCUUCACUUGUAAAUCUCAUCAAGCCUAUGCUGCUGCACAACAAGCUCUGCUUUUUCAGACUCAUUGAGAGUGUCUGGAAGUUUUGAGGCCAUAAAGCUUAAGAUUCCAGCGAUGCGAGUAACUCUCCAGGCAGGAAAGCCGUUUCUCUUGUGUGCCACGGGUUUCUUGAAAUUUGGGCAUCCGACCUGUUGUUGAUCAGUGAGGAUUGCUGUGGAUUCCACGUCAGCAAUCCUUCUCUGUUUGACCGCUGGAGAUUUAGAUGGUGUAGCGGGAAGGGGUGGAAAAUCCUCAUCCAUUUCAGAUACCAGCACUAGGAUCCGAGCCGAGGUAGUCGUGCAUGUUUUCGGCAAGAUUCCUAGUUUCGGAAUGUUCGUCGUGCACUGCAGCAGCCUGGAUGCUAAUGGAGUUAUCAUUAGCCACUGACUUGCGUGCUUCUGCCUUUCUUUUCUCAGAACUUUUCAUAAUGACUCGGUGAUGGGAACCAACCAAGGAGGGGGGAACACAGAUAUCGAUGAAUAAAACAGUAAUUAGGUAUUUAAUAAUAAUUUAGUAAUUAGGCUUUGAGCUGACCAAUGAGCCGAAUUUACAGCCUUUUGAUGAGUGAAGCGCCCAGAGUUUUUGAAAUCAACCAAGACAACUUUGCAGACUCUCCAGAAAUACACAAGCCCUUAACUGCCCUGCAACCCCGUGUUUCUGGUCCCAUCACCACAUUCAGGCGUUUUUCCACUUAAAACAUCACUUUUUGAGAGAUAUUUUUUUUGAUAAAUUGCCAAAGAGUCAUUUUUACCCCCCAGUACAGUAGACUCUGCAUUUGGAUCUGAGGAGAGCAGCGGACACAAGUGAUUGUGAAGAAGUCACUGACAUUUGGUGGCAGGCCUUAGAUAAUUGUGAGUUAUUGUGUCUGAUGGUGAAAAACACAAAGUUUUGGAAGAGGCAUACAGGCACUGUGGAAAAAGCAAAGGUGUGUACAUUCUGUAAAAAUGUUUUUGUAAACACUUUUCUGCUUAUAUUAUGCUUUGAAAAUGUGAUACAUAUGUGAUAAUCAAAGAACAUGAUUUUUUUUUUUUAAAACCUUUAUUCUUACGCUUUGAAAGUAUGUCAGAUUAUCCUAAACACUUAUUUGUAUGUAUGUUACACUGUGUAAUUUUUUUUAUAGAAACCUUGUUCAUUGUAUGACUGUGUAAUUAUCUAUCUUUGAUAAAUAAAAUAUUUAAUCUUGUAUUUGUGUACUUUGUGGUUAUUGAAUAAAAAAAAUUGUGACACAUUGCACUGAUAAACACAGAUGACUAAAAGAAAUGUUUGAUGGUAAAACGGAAACAAGUGUUGUGCUGCUAACUUUGAGGUUCUAAGUCACCAACGUUUAGAUAAGAAAAUGCAUAGAGGAAACUUGCAGCCCUGAGUCCAUAUGUAAAACAUGGAAACUUCAUAGGAGUGAUACUUGUUCUUACAUAGGUGCACUUAUUCUUUGUUAUGGCACUUUACUGUUCCAAUCAA